RNAcentral lists this ribosomal RNA (253 nucleotides) under uncultured bacterium. RNAcentral describes it as "partial 16S ribosomal RNA". It matches the Rfam family "Bacterial small subunit ribosomal RNA", at positions 524 to 776 of the family's 1533-position model. The record is from RNAcentral.
UACGUAGGGUCCGAGCGUUGUCCGGAAUUAUUGGGCGUAAAGGGCUCGUAGGCGGUUUGUCGCGUCGGGAGUGAAAACAGCGGGCUUAACUCGUUGCUUGCUUCCGAUACGGGCAGACUAGAGGUAUGCAGGGGAGAAUGGAAUUCCUGGUGUAGCGGUGAAAUGCGCAGAUAUCAGGAGGAACACCGGUGGCGAAGGCGGUUCUCUGGGCAUUACCUGACGCUGAGGAGCGAAAGCGUGGGGAGCAAACAGG